AGUCGAGCGACUGAUUAGAAGCUUGCUUCUAUGACGUUAGCGGCGGACGGGUGAGUAACACGUGGGGCAACCUGCCUGUAAGACUGGGAUAACUCCGGGAAACCGGAGCUAAUACCGGAUAACAUUUUCUCUUGCAUAAGAGAAAAUUGAAAGAUGGUUUCGGCUAUCACUUACAGAUGGGCCCGCGGUGCAUUAGCUAGUUGGUGAGGUAACGGCUCACCAAGGCAACGAUGCAUAGCCGACCUGAGAGGGUGAUCGGCCACACUGGGACUGAGACACGGCCCAGACUCCUACGGGAGGCAGCAGUGGGG
Molecule: ribosomal RNA, 311 nt
Filed under: Priestia flexa
Lineage: Bacteria; Bacillati; Bacillota; Bacilli; Caryophanales; Bacillaceae
Description: bacterial SSU rRNA
Rfam family: Bacterial small subunit ribosomal RNA
Source: RNAcentral